Molecule: ribosomal RNA, 439 nt
Filed under: uncultured bacterium
Lineage: Bacteria
Description: partial 16S ribosomal RNA
Rfam family: Bacterial small subunit ribosomal RNA
Source: RNAcentral
CUACGGGGGGCUGCAGUGGGGAAUAUUGGACAAUGGGCGCAAGCCUGAUCCAGCAAUGCCGCGUGAGUGAAGACGGCCUUAGGGUUGUAAAACUCUUUCGCUAGGGAAGAUAAUGACUGUACCUAGUAAAGAAGUCCCGGCUAACUCCGUGCCAGCAGCCGCGGUAAUACGGAGGGGACUAGCGUUGUUCGGAAUUACUGGGCGUAAAGAGUUCGUAGGCGGACUGACAAGUUAGAGGUGAAAUCCCAGGGCUCAACCCUGGAACUGCCUUUAAAACUGUCAGUCUAGAGACCGGAAGAGGUUAGGGGAAUACCUAGUGUAGAGGUGAAAUUCGUAGAUAUUAGGUGGAACACCAGUGGCGAAGGCGCCUAACUGGUCCGGUACUGACGCUGAGGAACGAAAGCGUGGGGAGCAAACAGGAUUAGAUACCCCGGUAGUC